Molecule: ribosomal RNA, 256 nt
Filed under: uncultured bacterium
Lineage: Bacteria
Description: partial 16S ribosomal RNA
Rfam family: Bacterial small subunit ribosomal RNA
Source: RNAcentral
UCGAGCGAUCACCUUGUCCUUCUCGUGAUGCCAGCGAGCGGGGGAAGGGUGAGUAAUGCCUAGGAAUCUGCCUGGUAGUGGGGGAUAACUCGGAUAACCUCUGGCUAAUACCUGCUACGUCCUAUAUGACAAAGCGGAGGAUCUUCUGACCUCUGGCUCCCCCAUGAGCCUAGGUCGCAUUCUCUCGUUGGUGAGGUAAAGGCUCACCUCGCGACGAUCCGAAGCUGGUCCGACAGGAUGAUCAGCCCAGCUGCAA